UACGAAGGGGGCUAGCGUUGUUCGGAAUUACUGGGCGUAAAGCGCGCGUAGGCGGUUUUGCAAGCCAGAGGUGAAAUGCCUGAGCUCAACUUAGGAAUUGCCUUUGGGACUGCGAGGCUUUGAGGACGAGAGAGGUGAGUGGAAUUCCCAGUGUAGAGGUGAAAUUCGUAGAUAUUGGGAAGAACACCGGUGGCGAAGGCGGCUCACUGGCUCGUUUCUGACGCUGUAGCGCGAAAGCGUGGGGAUCAAACAGGAUUAGAUACCCCCGUAGUCC
Molecule: ribosomal RNA, 274 nt
Filed under: uncultured Rhizobium/Agrobacterium group bacterium
Lineage: Bacteria; Pseudomonadati; Pseudomonadota; Alphaproteobacteria; Hyphomicrobiales; Rhizobiaceae
Description: partial 16S ribosomal RNA
Rfam family: Bacterial small subunit ribosomal RNA
Source: RNAcentral